This is a long non-coding RNA of Amblyraja radiata (thorny skate), 236 nucleotides long. RefSeq lists it as uncharacterized. Lineage: Eukaryota; Metazoa; Chordata; Chondrichthyes; Rajiformes; Rajidae. The transcript has 3 exons. The record is from RefSeq and is a predicted model, not a curated record.
GAAAAUAUUACUUGUGCUAUAGGAAGAGUCAGUCUUAGCUGUGGCAAUGCUGAUUGUGAUGGCAUCACUUGUUUGCUAUUUCAAACACAGGAAAGCUGGCAGAAAGGCUGGUGUGUUGCGAGGAAACAGCCUACAUCACGAUUCUCUACGACUCGAAGCCGGCUCAAGAUACAAUUAUACUUCACUGAAAUGACUCUUCCAGGAACAUCGAAGCGAUGACCCACUGCAGUCCCCCA